Molecule: ribosomal RNA, 819 nt
Filed under: uncultured bacterium
Lineage: Bacteria
Description: bacterial SSU rRNA
Rfam family: Bacterial small subunit ribosomal RNA
Source: RNAcentral
GAAUUCGCCCUUAGAGAUCCCUUCUGGCUCAGGAUGAACGCUGGCGGCGUGCUUAACACAUGCAAGUCGAACGGGCGCACAGAGGGAAACAGUAUUCGUACUGAAUCCGCUGUGAGCUAGUGGCGGACGGGUGAGUAACACGUGAGUAAUCUGCCUCAAGCAGUGGAAUAACAACGGGAAACCGUUGCUAAUACCGCAUAGAGUCACUUCUCGGCAUCGAGAGGAGAUAAAAGGGAGUAAUCCCGGCCUGAGAUGAGCUCGCGUCCGAUUAGGUAGUUGGUGAGGUAACGGCUCACCAAGCCCGCGAUCGGUAGCCGGACUGAGAGGUUGAUCGGCCACAUUGGGACUGAGACACGGCCCAGACUCCUACGGGAGGCAGCAGUGGGGAAUAUUGGGCAAUGGGGGAAACCCUGACCCAGCGACGCCGCGUGAAGGAUGAAGGCCUUCGGGUUGUAAACUUUUUUGGAUGGGGACGAAGAAAUGACGGUACCCAUCGAACAAGCCACGGCUAACUACGUGCCAGCAGCCGCGGUAAUACGUAGGUGGCGAGCGUUAUCCGGAAUUACUGGGUGUAAAGGGCGUGUAGGCGGAUGAACAAGUCUGAUGUGAAAUCUUGCGGCUUAACUGCAAGCUGUCAUUAGAAACUGUAUAUCUUGAGUGUCAGAGGGGAAAGUGGAAUUCCUAGUGGAGCGGUAAAAUGCGUAGAUAUUAGGAGGAACACCGGUGGCGAAGGCGACUUUCUGGCUGACAACUGACGCUGAGGCGCGAAAGCGUGGGGAGCAAACAGAAGUAGAUACCCUGGUAGUCCACGCCGUAAAC